This 416-nucleotide ribosomal RNA is filed under the name Xenagama taylori. RNAcentral describes it as "partial 16S ribosomal RNA". It matches the Rfam family "Bacterial large subunit ribosomal RNA", at positions 1957 to 2597 of the family's 2925-position model. The record is from RNAcentral. Lineage: Eukaryota; Metazoa; Chordata; Lepidosauria; Squamata; Agamidae.
UAGCGUAAUCACUUGUUCCAUAAAUAGGGACCCGUAUGAACGGCCACAUGAGAAAGAAACUGUCUCUUGAAGAUAGCCAAUGAAACUGAUCUGCUUGUUAAAAAGCAAGUAUAACCAAGCUAGACAAAAAGACCCUGUGAAACUUAAAACUAAGCAUUAAACAAAUAAUGCCUAACUUUUAGUUGGGGCAACUUAAGAAAUACUAAACAUCUUAAAUACCAUAAACCAACAAGUUGAAGCCACUAAACAAAAGAUCCGGCACGGCCGACUAACGAACCAAGCUACUCCAGGGAUAACAGCGCCAAAUUCUUUAAGAGUCCACAUCAACAAGAAUUCUUACGACCUCGAUGUUGGAUCAGGGUACCCAAACAGUGCAGAAGCUGUUAACGGUUCGUUUGUUCAACGACUAAGACCCU